This 432-nucleotide ribosomal RNA is filed under the name uncultured bacterium. RNAcentral describes it as "bacterial SSU rRNA". It matches the Rfam family "Bacterial small subunit ribosomal RNA", at positions 29 to 508 of the family's 1533-position model. The record is from RNAcentral.
AACGAACGCUGGCGGCAGGCUUAACACAUGCAAGUCGAGCGCCCCGCAAGGGGAGCGGCAGACGGGUGAGUAACGCGUGGGAAUCUACCCAUCUCUACGGAAUAACCCAGGGAAACUUGGACUAAUACCGUAUACGUCCUUUUGGAGAAAGAUUUAUCGGAGAUGGAUGAGCCCGCGUUGGAUUAGCUAGUUGGUGGGGUAAAGGCCUACCAAGGCGACGAUCCAUAGCUGGUCUGAGAGGAUGACCAGCCACACUGGGACUGAGACACGGCCCAGACUCCUACGGGAGGCAGCAGUGGGGAAUAUUGGACAAUGGGCGCAAGCCUGAUCCAGCCAUGCCGCGUGAGUGAUGAAGGCCCUAGGGUUGUAAAGCUCUUUCACCGGUGAAGAUAAUGACGGUAACCGGAGAAGAAGCCCCGGCUAACUUCGUGC